This 442-nucleotide ribosomal RNA is filed under the name uncultured bacterium. Its description in RNAcentral is "partial 16S ribosomal RNA". It matches the Rfam family "Bacterial small subunit ribosomal RNA", at positions 338 to 795 of the family's 1533-position model. The record is from RNAcentral.
CCUACGGGUGGCAGCAGUGGGGAAUUUUGGGCAAUGGGCGCAAGCCUGACCCAGCAACGCCGCGUGAAGGAAGAAGGCUUUCGGGUUGUAAACUUCUUUUAAGAGGGAAGAGCAGAAGACGGUACCUCUUGAAUAAGCCACGGCUAACUACCGGCCAGCAGCCGCGGCAAUAUGUAUGUGGCAAGCGUUGGCCGGAUUUACUGGGUGGAAAGGGCGUGCAGCCGGGAAGACAAGUCAGAUGUGAAAUCCCUCGGCUCAACCGCGGGACUGCAUUUGAAACUGUUUUUCUUGAGUGCAGGAGAGGAGAUCGGAAUUCCAUGUGUAGCGGUGAAAUGCGUAGAUAUAAGGAAGAACACCAGUGGCGAAGGCGGAUGACUGGAUGGCAACUGACGGUGAGGCGCGAAAGCGUGGGGAGCAAACAGGAUUAGAUACCCCUGUAGUC